UCUUAAUAAAAAAUAACAAUAAACAAUUAAACAUCAUAAAACCCAGACCCGGUUGUCCAACUUCCCAACUCUCUCCAUCAUUCCAAAUCAAUCGAAUUACGAUCUGGGCGUUAUUUGAUUCUUAAAUCUUCUUCGCUAAUUUUGAAGAAAAAAUUAGAAGGAACAAAAAUGAUUUACAGAAAGUGGAGUCUGCUCAGCAGUACUGCUGUUAUCACUGGUGGGAUCAUAGGAGCUGUUGUGGUUGGCAACCUACUGUUUGUUCAAGAGAAUCCCUUUAUGAAGCCUGAUUUGAAGAAGGAAAAUAAUUCAUCCUCAAAAUAGAACUGUUUCAUAAGAGAUGCGAUGAGAAAGUUUAGCAGUCAGUUUAUAAUGUAAGUUGCAGGUGAGGGAUACAAGUCACGUUUCCAACAUUUGGUUUAUUUUGUCAAAUAAAGACUUGCCUAAGCCUACUGAGUUGUGAUUAUGGCCUUCAUUUGCUCACAUUUAGCUCUUGUUUUUUCUGUAUACCUCCAGCUUAUGGUUAAUUGAUGUGCCGGUUUUGAGGCACUACCAUACCUCUGUUUGAUUUAUCACUAAACUCUUAAAUUUAUGUAUGAGUUGAUUUGCGCAAAAUGAUGCAUCUUUGAAGACAUAAUUGACUGGACUGGCUCGAAUCUUAACUUGACAUCAACAUGUGCCGACUCUAAACUAGAAUUUGCUUUGAAGUCAUUUGCAAAUGAUGCCUUUGACAAAUUAUUAAUGUGGAUUGUGAUUUAUGAGCAUAUUUAAGUUUAGAUUAUACCCUAACUUCAAAACCGAGAUAUCGAGACAAUUUUAUAGUGUAAUGUGAAUUGUGGCACUUCAAAUAAACAACUUUGGUUGGAAAUUGAGAGACGCCAAUUGAUCCAUUUUUAGACAAAGUAUUAAUAUUAUUGGAGUAGAAAAGGUUUUUCCGAAUCAACACAAAUAAUUGACAUACAAAUGAUCCAUUUGUAUGAAGUUAUAAUCACUAAUAACAUAGCAGUCGAGGGUGACUACCAGUCUUUACUUGACUUGCGGUCCCAAGUGUA
This is a long non-coding RNA of Amaranthus tricolor (Joseph's coat), 1049 nucleotides long. RefSeq lists it as uncharacterized. The transcript is spliced from 3 exons. Lineage: Eukaryota; Viridiplantae; Streptophyta; Magnoliopsida; Caryophyllales; Amaranthaceae. The record is from RefSeq and is a predicted model, not a curated record.